UACGUAGGGGGCAAGCGUUGUCCGGAUUUAUUGGGCGUAAAGAGCGUGUAGGCGGCCAUACAGGUCAGCUGUGAAAACUCGAGGCUCAACCUCGAGACGUCGGUUGAAACCGUACGGCUAGAGUCCGGAAGAGGAGAGUGGAAUUCCCGGUGUAGCGGUGAAAUGCGCAGAUAUCGGGAAGAACACCCGUGGCGAAGGCGGCUCUCUGGGACGGUACUGACGCUGAGACGCGAAAGCGUGGGGAGCGAACAGG
RNAcentral lists this ribosomal RNA (253 nucleotides) under uncultured bacterium. Its description in RNAcentral is "partial 16S ribosomal RNA". It matches the Rfam family "Bacterial small subunit ribosomal RNA", at positions 524 to 776 of the family's 1533-position model. The record is from RNAcentral.